RNAcentral lists this ribosomal RNA (384 nucleotides) under uncultured bacterium. RNAcentral's name for it is "bacterial SSU rRNA". It matches the Rfam family "Bacterial small subunit ribosomal RNA", at positions 524 to 906 of the family's 1533-position model. The record is from RNAcentral.
UACAGAGGUCCCAAGCGUUGUUCGGAUUCACUGGGCGUAAAGGGUGCGUAGGCGGUCGGUUAAGUCUGACGUGAAAUCUUCAAGCUCAACUUGGAAACUGCGUCAGAUACUAUUCGGCUAGAGGAAUGGAGGGGAGACUGGAAUACUUGGUGUAGCAGUGAAAUGCGUAGAUAUCAAGUGGAACACCAGUGGCGAAGGCGAGUCUCUGGACAUUUCCUGACGCUGAGGCACGAAAGCCAGGGGAGCAAACGGGAUUAGAUACCCCGGUAGUCCUGGCCCUAAACGGUGCACGUUUGCUGUAAGAGGAAUCGACCCCUUUUGUGGCGAAGCUAACGCGUUAAACGUGCCGCCUGGGAAGUACGGCCGCAAGGUUAAAACUCAAAG